This 253-nucleotide ribosomal RNA is filed under the name uncultured bacterium. RNAcentral's name for it is "partial 16S ribosomal RNA". It matches the Rfam family "Bacterial small subunit ribosomal RNA", at positions 524 to 776 of the family's 1533-position model. The record is from RNAcentral.
UACGGGGGGGGCAAGCGUUGUUCGGAAUUACUGGGCGUAAAGGGCUCGUAGGCGGCCAUCUAAGUCAGACGUGAAAUCCCUCGGCUUAACCGGGGAACUGCGUCUGAUACUGGAUGGCUAGAGUUUGGGAGAGGUAUGCGGAAUUCCAGGUGUAGCGGUGAAAUGCGUAGAUAUCUGGAGGAACACCGGUGGCGAAAGCGGCAUCCUGGACCAACACUGACGCUGAGGAGCGAAAGCCAGGGGAGCAAACGGG